This 293-nucleotide ribosomal RNA is filed under the name uncultured bacterium. Its description in RNAcentral is "partial 16S ribosomal RNA". RNAcentral also lists the same sequence under 2 other names. The record is from RNAcentral.
GGACUACCAGGGUUUCUAAUCCCGUUCGCUACCCUAGCUUUCGCGUCUCAGCGUCAGUAGACGUCCAGGACCUCGCUUUCGCCACGGGCGUUCCUUCCGAUCUCAACGCAUUUCACCGCUCCACCGGAAGUUCCAGGUCCCCCUACGUCCCUCGAGGCGGGUCGUUUCGGCGCCCAUUCCCCGGUUGAGCCGGGGGCUUUCAACGACCGACGUUCCCGCCCGCCUACACGCGCUUUAAGCCCAGUGAUUCCGAAUAACGUUCGCACGGUUCGUCUUACCGCGGCGGCUGGCAC